This is a long non-coding RNA of Triplophysa rosa, 1980 nucleotides long. RefSeq lists it as uncharacterized. The record is from RefSeq and is a predicted model, not a curated record. The transcript is spliced from 3 exons. NCBI's taxonomy places the organism in Eukaryota, Metazoa, Chordata, Actinopteri, Cypriniformes, Nemacheilidae.
CUCUCUCUCUCUCUCUCCCUCCCUGUCUCUCUCUCCCUCUCUCUCUCUCCCUCUCUCUUCAUCUCUCUUUCUCCCUCACUGUCUCUCUCUCUCUCUCCCUCUCUCUCUCUCUCUCCCUCUCCCUCUCUCUGUCUUUUUUUUUUCAAAGAAAGCACUUUAUUGGCAUUGUUUUACAUACAGCAUCGACAAAGCAUUUAUAAACAUAAAUGCAAACAUAUAACAACUGCAAAAAAUAAAAUAAAACAAUCUCCCGGGCUCUCUCUCUCUUUCUUGUGGCACAUUUGUGGUAGCUCUGAUGCAUUUAUCUUAUUACAGUGUGUGUGUUUGUGUCUAAGUGUGUGUGUCUUCUUUACUAACCCUUAAUGUCUCGUUCCCUUUCUGUCGGUCUCUCGACGUUGUGUCGAACCGACAGAUGGGGUUCACUCUUGAGAACCAAUCGUCUUCUGACUAUUUGGAAAAGGCCAAUGAAAUUGGCGAACAAAAUUUGCAUGCCGGACUAUGCCCCGGACAUCCGGGUAUGAAAGGAAGCCGGCGUGCUCAUUCAUUCACCUUUUGUUCUUCGAAACCUUCGAUCUUAUGAUCAUUCUACAGUCUCUACUGAUCUAUUUCUGCAGCGACUCUCCCCUGGGUGUCUCGGCAGUUCCGGAGGUGUUCGAGUUUUUUCCUUUUUUAUUUCUAAAAGAGCAAAUUUCUCCAGCGCGGCAUGUCCCUCUGUUCUCGUGGGUGCAAUGCGCUCAUUGAGGAGGGGGACGGACACAAUGUGUGUCUCAGGUGUUUGGGUCUCCGGCACGCUGAGGCAGCAUUUGUGGAUACGUCAUGCCCGCACUGCGGGUAGCUGUUUUCUUUGUGGAAGCAGCCGCCACCUCAUCAGCUUCCCGUCCUAGGAUCGCAGCGGCUACGGCCCUGCCGUCCCUGACGGCGAGCAGCGGGGGUGAUAAGGGGAGCUCCGUGAGCGGCAACCCAUCAGCCACAGGCUCGCGGACUGCUUGCGCCCCAUCUCGCUCGUAUGAUCUUCCCCAGGGGACGGUCCUACCCCAUCUUGUUCCUCCGCCACGUACUCGGAAGUACGUGACGACGAUGAGAUGUCGCUUGCAGCAUCGGAGGGCGACUUAUUGGCAUCCGAUCCCGACGAUUCCUCGGAGCUCCCUCCUUUGGGGGAUCGAGCCCAGGAUGAAGCGGACAUCGAGAUGUCAACCAUGCUCUCCCGGGCUCGCGGCUGGAUACGUGGUACCUCGGGUCUGGACGCGACUCCAAGCCGCACCCAACCCCGGUCCCGUUUUUCCCAGAGGUGCAUGAGGAGCUCAGUAAGACGUGGAACGCCCCCUUUUCGGCGCGUUUCCGUCAGACCAGCUCUGUCGCCCUCACUUCCCUCGAUGGUGGGGCAGCCAGGGGCUAUGUCGACAUCCCCCAGGUGGAAUGGGCCGUCGCGGUACACCUGUGCCCAUCAGGGAACUGAGGUUACAUACGUAACCAAGACGAUUUUAUUCUAGUGAGAGAGGAGGAGAUGGAAGCAGAGAAACACAGAAAGAGAGUACGACAGGAAGAAGAGUGGAGGGAGACAGAGCUUCACAGGCGUUGAACCCCACACCCUACUGCCAUCUCGCAGCUGAUCACCAUCCCCACCUUCCUGAUUUUAACGAGUGUGCUCAUCUGUCCCUGUAACAGUCAAACAAGAUUCAAGUGACCUCUGUGAUUUGUGCUCAAUACUGCAUUUAAAUGUGGAGGUAGUUGCACAUAUUUUUUACUUGUAUAUAUUUACAUACAUACAUAGCCUUACACUCUCUAUAUCUUUAUCUUAUGUUUAUUGUAUUGUAUUUCUUCAUUUUUUAUACCCAUAGGCCCUUAUUUAAAUCAUUGUGUACUGUAUUCUAUUGUGUUAUGGUCUCUAUGUACUGUUGUUACUGUUUCUGUGUUCUGGAUGCUCCUGUCACCAAAACAAAUUCCUUGUAUGUGCAAACAUACUUGGCAAUAAAGCUCUUU